CAACCAGUUGUCAUUGUUAAAGACAUUACUGUAAACCCAUCCAUAUAAGUGGAGAACCUUUACUGCGACCUAAAUGAACCGAGUUCAUAGUUCAGGCGUUCAAUUUGAAUAAAUCGAUUAAAUCAAGGUUGGUGUGUCUGCCAUCCUUGUGCAAACUGUGACAGUCGUACACCAUCACACUGUUCACAGCUAAUUAUUUGGUAAUCCUUCAUUUUCUGCAGGCUUGAGUUGAGAGCUUGGGUCUGAUUUACCAGCUGUUAAGCCAAACAAAAAAGAGAUACAUAUCUAUAGACAUAUACUUAUAUGUAUAUAUGCAUAUGUGUAUGUGUGUGUGUGUGUGUGUGUGUGGUGUGUGUGUAUAUAUAAAAAAUACAGUGAUGUGUUCAGGAUUUAUCUUUUGAACACGUAAAGCAUUCUAGGCUUGAAAAAAACUAGUAUGUAACUGUCCUACUAAUGAGUAUCCAUGAAAAUACUGAUGCUGGUGUUUCCCUAAGCAAAGUUUGUAUUUGCAGUGCAGUGAGAUACUCAGCUACGUGCCCUAAGUAACAUCACAAAAUCUUGGAGAAUGCCUUAUCACCCAAACAGUACCAUAACAUGUACAGGGUUUGGUAGAGUUCUGAGGAAAAAUGCAUGUACCUACAACAUCAUGUAACUUCAUUAGAGACUUAGAGUGCUGGAAUGGCUUAACUUUCUUAUAGCUGCCUUUGUAACCUCCAAACUUUACUUCUUACUUUUCUUUGCUAUAAUUCAGUUUUAUUUGCCUUGGGAACAGUGCAGCCUUUGCUAGCAACAAAUAUUUUGGGCAACUAAAGAAUCUGUUUGAACUACUGUAAAAACAAAUAUUGUGUAUUAACUCAUUAAAUGGCAGGUGUACAUAUAUAAACAACAUCUGGACAGUUUCAUUUCUCUGGAGUACUGAACAUAGCUACACCACAAAUUGGAAGACGGAUGAGGAAGAAAAGAGGGAAGAGAAGGGAAGAAGAGGGAAGAGAAGGGAAAAAAUCACCUCUCACAAUCCUCAAGGUCUUGUCCAUUAUAAGGAAGGAGAAAUUGGUGGUGAAUGCAGUCAGUCAUUUCCCUGAUGCAGCCCAGUGUGUCUACAGAGAACAAAGUCCUGCUUUCCAGCUCAGACGAAAUGAGAUUCUGGGUGACCUGUGUUUUGGGCUAUGGCUUCAUUCCCCUUGUUCCAGAUAGAAGCAUAACUGCUGCUACACUUAUGCAGCCAGCAAGCAUUCAAGACUUCAUCCCCCUAGUCAAGAUCAACAACUUUUACCUAUCUUUUUUUUGA
Molecule: long non-coding RNA, 1288 nt
Filed under: Struthio camelus australis
Lineage: Eukaryota; Metazoa; Chordata; Aves; Struthioniformes; Struthionidae
Description: lncRNA (ENSSCUG00000007086.1)
Source: RNAcentral